This 791-nucleotide long non-coding RNA is filed under the name Homo sapiens (human). RNAcentral describes it as "non-protein coding lnc-ARSB-1:1". Lineage: Eukaryota; Metazoa; Chordata; Mammalia; Primates; Hominidae. The record is from RNAcentral.
CCAUGAUGGUUGGCAAGAACAGGUGCCUUACAAAGGCAGCAAAAAGGAAGCCAAGAAGAAAGGUUGAUCCAUUUUCUAAGAAAGAUUGGCAUGAUGUGAAAGCCCCUGCUGUGUUCAAUAUAAGAAAUAUUGGAAAGACCCUAGUCACCAGGACCCAAGGAACCAAAACUGCAUCUGAUGGCCUCAAGGGUCACAUGUUUGAAGUGAGUCCUGCUGAUUUGCAGAAUAGUGAAGUUGCAUUUAGAAAAUUUAAGCUGAUUUUUGAAGAUAUUUGGGCAAAAACUGCAUAACUUCCAUGCCAUGGAUCUUACCCAUGACAAAAUGUGCUUCAUGGUCAAAAAAAUGGCAGACAAUGAUUGAAGGUCAUGUCCAUGUCAAGACCCAAUGGUUACUUGCUUUGUCUGUUCUGCAUUGAUUUUACUAAAAAAAAAAACAAUACCACAACAAUCAGAUAUAGAAGACCUGUUAUGCUCAGCAUUAACAGGUCUACCAAAUCCGGAAGAAGAUUUGGAAAUCAUGACCUGAUAAGUGCAGAGAAAUGACUUGAAAGAAGUGGUCAAUAAAUUGAUUCCAGACAGCAUUGAAAAGACACAGAAAAGGCUUGCCAAUCUAUUUAUCCUCUCCAUGAUGUCUUCGUUAGAAGACUAAAAAUGCUGAAGAAGCCCAAGUUUGAAUUGGGAAAACUCAUGGAGCUUCAUGGUGAAUGCAGUAGUUCUGGAAAAGCCACUGGGGACGAGACAGGUGCUAAAGUUGAACCAGCUGAUGGAUAUGAACCACCAGUUCCAAGAAUC